AACCCUCAACCGUCUCUCAUUCUCUCUCCAAUCUCUCCAUCUCUCCCCCUCUCCCUUGUGCAGCCACCUUGCCGCCUCUCUCAUCCCUCUUCGCCAUCAGUAGCAGCGGCGAACGGCAACGCCCGUCACAUCCUCGCCAACACAGUGCAAUAUUGCUUCGGUCGCCGGCAUCUGCUCGUCGACGCAAACGGUCGCUGCCGCUGCUGGUCCAAGGGCGCAUCCUGACGCCGCAGCGCCUCCGCGCUUGUAGCCCAUCUCGCCAAUCAAGGUGAGGAUCUCUGUUAUCACGAUUUUCCUGUUCGGCGACGAAGUUCAACAAAGGUAGGAUUUUCGAUUUAUUUCACAAUUUUAAGAAAUCUUUUGAACAGAUCUAGUGCGUCAUUUUAAUUUUCUCAUUAUUCCGAUAAUUUUCCAUCAUCUUCUCCAAACAAUUUCGAUUCUGGGCAAAUCAACCUCGACCACUUUAAAUUGAUUUUACUUUUAAAACUUUGUUAAAUGAGAACAACACAACAUAUGUUUGUUGAAAGUUCAAAACCAAAAUUUUCAGAUUUCCAGAUUUUUCAGUGUAAAAGUUGCUGCUUCGU
Molecule: long non-coding RNA, 584 nt
Filed under: Salvia miltiorrhiza (redroot sage)
Lineage: Eukaryota; Viridiplantae; Streptophyta; Magnoliopsida; Lamiales; Lamiaceae
Description: long non-coding RNA (SMIL_LNC007360)
Source: RNAcentral